AUCAGCAUUAGGGUUUUAAACCCUAAACUGAACUUUUCCUUUCGUCAGCAUUAGGGUUUUAAACCCUAACUGAACUUUUUUCCAUUUAGUCAGCAUUAGGGUUUUAAACCCUAAAUUGAACUUUUCCUUGCAAUCAGCAUUAGGGUUUUAAACCCUAAACUGAACUUUUUCUUUAGUCAGCAUUAGGGUUUUAAACCCUAACUGAACUUUUUUCCAUUUAGUCAGCAUUAGGGUUUUAAACCCUAAACUGAACUUUUCCUUGCAAUCAGCAUUAGGGUUUUAAACCCUAAACUGAACUUUUCCUCGCAAUCAGCAUUAGGGUUUUAAACCCUAAACUGAACUUUUUUCCAUUCAGCCAGCAUUAGGGUUUUAAACCCUAAACUGAGCUUUUCCUUGCAAUCAGCAUUAGGGUUUUAAACCCUAAACUGAAUUUUUCCUUUAGUCAGCAUUAGGGUUUUAAACCCUAACUGAACUUUUUCCAUUCAACCAGCAUUAGGGUUUUAAACCCUAAACUGAGCUUUUCCAUGCAAUCAGCAUUAGGGUUUUAAACCCUAAACUGAACUUUUCCUUGCAAUCAGCAUUAGGGU
This 587-nucleotide long non-coding RNA is filed under the name Nicotiana tabacum (common tobacco). RNAcentral's name for it is "long non-coding RNA (NTAB_LNC014645)". Lineage: Eukaryota; Viridiplantae; Streptophyta; Magnoliopsida; Solanales; Solanaceae. The record is from RNAcentral.